GUCCUUGCAGCGAGGGUUUGAAUCUUGCGUCCCCCGGCUCGGAGAACUGAAAGGGCAUUUAAACUUUAUGCAGUGAAGCGACAACGUCUUCACUGAAAUACUUCGUCUGUCACGACUGUCACUGGGAAUCCACAGGAGGUGAACUGAAUAAGAUUAGACUAUUUACCCCAUCAACUCUCCAUCAAAGAAGGAUUCAAAACUGCACCUGAGGAUGAUCUAAACCAAGAGCCUAUUUCUAACAAAAGACUCGUAUAAACGUUAAAGAAAAAGAAUCCCAG
Myiozetetes cayanensis is the source of this 278-nucleotide long non-coding RNA. RefSeq lists it as uncharacterized. The transcript has 4 exons. The record is from RefSeq and is a predicted model, not a curated record. Lineage: Eukaryota; Metazoa; Chordata; Aves; Passeriformes; Tyrannidae.